This 5950-nucleotide ribosomal RNA is filed under the name Triticum aestivum (bread wheat). RNAcentral describes it as "partial small subunit ribosomal RNA". Lineage: Eukaryota; Viridiplantae; Streptophyta; Magnoliopsida; Poales; Poaceae. The record is from RNAcentral.
UCUCUUCCACGCACACACGCCCCCCGCUUCCCGAGCUUAGAGCGCUAGGGGUUUAGGCCUCCCGCAGCCUCCGUCGGCUAAGCCCGGCGAGGCCGCCGCCGCCGCCGCCGCCCCGACGCUAAGCCCCCCUAAGCGGGCUAGCCCCUCGAGCGCCCGCCCUAAGCUCGAACGCUAAGCACCCCGCUCGCUCCGCCCGCCCGCCCGCCUCGACACCCUCCACCCGGGCUCGCCCCGCCAACUGGCCCGGACACAUCCACCCCACCCACCUACGACAGGCACGCCUCCGCCGUCCUCCUACGACCGCCGCGGCGGCCGUACCGCCUGGUGCGGCUCGACCUCCUCCCCCUCCGGAUGCCGCUGCUGUACGGGGGGAAGCUGCUGGGGCUGCAGUGGGAGCGAAUGUAACUACUUUUUGAUGUUUUACAUGAUCCGGUAAAAGUUUUCCUGAAACUUCCUCCGCAAAGACGUCUCUUAGAUCCUAGUUUUAAACCACCUAUACCGAGUAAAAACGGUUGGAUGGUCGCAAGGGGGGAAGACGGGGUGUGAUCUUGCGGUGGAUUCCACCGUUUACGAUCGAGUUCUAGAGGAAUAGUGGUCAGAUGACUCCUACACAGAGUCUUGGGAGGCCGAUACCGGCAAGGUAGACAAAGGGUCUUAUUACCAAGCCACCGAGGAAAAAGACCACUAAGUUAAUUUUUCCUUUCUACGCUUUCGUGUCGCAGAUUUUCCCCGAGACCGUGGGUACUAGGAAGUUUACCGGGUAGAUUCAGAUCGCUGGUCUUAUCUAAAUUUCAUGCCUAUUUUCAACCAAGGCUGUUACAGAACCGUUCUUUAUUACGUCGAUAAAUGUCACCAAACCCGGAACUGUAAAGAAGUGGAAGUAGGCACCUCCUUUCGGGACUACCGGUGCCCCCGGAGAGGGGCCUUAAAUCGUUACACGUUGAACUUAGAGGGGCCUGGUAAGAAGUCUAGUACUGUACGAAAAGUCAAGGACCUCCCAUGAACAAUAGGGGAGAAGUACCGUCAAACAACGUUGACUGUUUCUUCCAACAAGGAAGUAACUUCUUUACCCUUUGUUCGAACCUCUAUCUUUUACGUGUCCUUCGUAUACUUCCCGUACACCAAUUCUUUUACUUCAGACUACCAUUCUUUUUCUUUGGGUGUCUACACUUCUCCAGUUUAUUGUCUUUGCUACAGUCACGUAAAUACUUUUUACUCUAGCUACAUCUUUGUGAACGACCGGUCUUCUAACGUAGUCUUCGAGAGUCGUAUGGCAGAUCAGGGUCUCCGUACCUACGUUUGUCGUUAACAGUUAAACUUCUUCUUCGUUGUCCUUUUAGAAACCUUUCUUUGUUUCUACUAGCUAACUUUCUUACCCGACAUUUGUCGUUGUCGUUCUGUUAGUUUCGACUUUGACCGUUUCUCCUCUGAUGGCUGACAAAUCGUUCACCACCAAAACCGUCGAGUCUUAACCUUGAAAGUCGUCGUUUCUCCCUCGACUUUGGACACUGUCUUUUCUGUCGCAACUGAAAUCUUCUCUACUUAUGUUGGUCACUGUGUCUAAAAGACAACCUAUCCUUUGUACUUUCUUUUUAUUUCGGACUCUCAUUUUCGUUACGAAGACAGCAAUUGAAACUUCUUUUGCGUCAAUAUCUACUUUUUCGAGGACGACAAACGUCUUCGUACCUCUUCCAAUGAUCGUUUCUCCGAAGUGAAAUACUAUGUUUACACUUUUUAUUGUGGUUCUCACUACGGUUUUCUUAAGUGUCCCUUGUUUUCUUCUUACGAGGUUGUAGAAGACUAGAAGACCUACAACUGUUCCCACGAGCAAGAAGACCACCUCAAUUUCUCUCCUUUUUGCUAAGAGUGAGGUUUAGAUCGGUGAGGCCCUUCUUUGGGUUUCGUUUUGGUGUAUCUCUACAGUCCCUGUCAAACGGACUGCCUAGGGUACCUAGGUCCCUCGUCCUAUAUAACCUCUUACCUCAACCUAACCCUCUCAACGUCGGUUUCCUUUUUAUAACCUAGUUUUCCCUAAGACUAAACCGACCCCGUAGUUUCUCCCUCUAAAGAAGAUCACGUUUCGUACUGUCUGUAUGUCGAAGACUCCUCGUCUUCUACGUACAUGGAGGUAGAAGACAUAGUUGACGUUUACGUCGAGGGCGUGAAGUUCGUGGACAGCACUAUCUCCUUGUAACCCAUGUUACACUAUAUACAGUCUUUACCGCAGAGGAUGGUAUACUCAGCCUAGGACUAUGAGAAGGUUUCCUUACCUUUACAUCGUACGUUGACACCGAUGGACCCUACUUAUCCACGCUACAACCACUCCUCCUCUGAUGUUUACGAGACUUACGUGAUAUACAGUAAGGUGGGGGACGGUUACCAUAAGGAAGUCAACCAGUAGGAGUACGACGAAGAAGACCUGACCGUUGUCGGUUGUGAAAGUCAUAUUUACCUGUACGACUUGUCUCAUCCUUUUCCUUCUCAAAAGGUCCACUACCUUCACGAAACCAACUGUCAAGAGUGGGUUGUGUUCGAAGUCGAAUAAGUUGCUAGUGGGUUGGGGGAGGAUCUCAAUCUUCAUGACGACUAUGAUUGGUGAUAGGAAGACUCUCUCUAAGACACUCGUUUAGUCAACUGCAAAGGUGACUUUUCUUCUUCAGGUUCUCGUUCUUAGCACCGUCGAUAAGACUACCUCCUCUAGAACACCUUUCUAGGUUCUUCGUAAGUUUUCCUUUUCCGUUCUCUCUCUACCUAAUACCACUUAUGUUUCGAAGAUUCUUUCAAUUUUUCCUCCUCGCCGUAGCAAGAUCGUCUCUGGCCUUGGGACUUACACUAAAUCGAUCACCUCUGCAAGGACUACUCCGGUUCCGAAAAGAACGUUUCCGUUUCUCAAACCCACUCUUCCCACUAUAAAGAAGUAACUUCGUUUUUUCACAACGCUCCAGACUAGCAAACCUCUUCAGGUUCUCUCUGUUCCUACUCCUAUAUCGAGAAGGACUUCUAUCCUUGUUCCUUGUUAUGGUUUGGAGUCUACAUGUUUCUAGUCUGCAAAGAUCGUUCUUCUCCUAUCACUUCCUUACCCUCCUCUCAGUCGUAUCAAGUUAUCGAGUCCACUCGUCUCCUUGGUGUCACUUAGUGUCGAGACGACGGUUCCUUUGGGUAUUCCUAGUUUUGAAUUUCCUUUGUUUCAGGUUCGGUUAUUUCAGACUUCUUGACAUAAGGUGCUGCCUAAGAUUUAAUCCUUUUCCAGACGUGAGAUUAGUCUAAAGAAGAAUAAUACCACCAGUACAUUUGUUACUUGAGCACCUCCUAUCGUGUGUGAAACGACCAUUUUCUCCAGGUAGGCUUCAUAAUCUAUUCGCUAGAAGACUUGUACGAAACCUGAAUCGACCUCGGCGAAGAUCACUACAAGGCUGGUGUCGGUAUCGAAGUUCAAGAAGUUUUCGAAGUCCGAGAGUCUUUUUCUUUUUAUUGAGGGUUCAACGUUUCUGAAGUGGCUAACUUAGUCAAAGGAGUAGUGGUGGCUCCUUGAGAUUGUAACUAUUCAAGAGGGUCUUGUCUUAUCACCUCUUUCUACCCGGAUACUUACGAUUGGGUCCGUGGUACGGAUCGAGUCAUUUCAUAGAUUUAUGACUUCAACUAUAUCAUCUGUUACAAGCCGUCCGAUUCUUCAGGUUCCUCUCGAACGAACGUUCACUUGGACAGAAUGUACCGAGAAGUGUUCCUUUAAGACUGUUUCUACUACUUAAUCAAGUCAGUUGAGUUCCAGUACGUAGACUUUCCAAAAGUAACUCUUUCCCAAACCUACUACUAGUCGUCGUACGUAGACCCUCUUUCCUGAGGUGACACUUACCGAGGUCGUGUCGCUCCCCAAUAUUGGUGGACGUAAGACCACUAUUUUUAUUGAACGCGUGACUACCGAGAAAUCACGUUGGAUCCUGACGUCGAAGCCCGAGCUUUCCUCUAAACUAACGCUCACUUUCAUUCUUUUGACGUCGAGGAUAGGUUCUAUCUUUACCUAAUUGAGUAACACGAGACCUACCUUUAGGAUUUGGUCUCCACGGUAGACCUUUUCUAUUUAGAAUAGGGUUCUCAUUGUUCGUUCUAUACCUCUUCGGGUUUCGGGUUUAACGGGGAAGUGGAGACUUUCUUUGGGUGAGAUGAGGUCAUUUUAGAUUACGCAGUUUUAACUGUGGUGUCAGUUCCGCUUCGUCACUACUUUUACCUCCCGUUGUCGCACAACGGUUUGUCCCUUGCAGCUUAGGAUGCCUACCCUUUCUACCAUUAAGUUGACGUAUACGAGAGUUUCUUCGAGCUCUAAAUUUCGUGUUCCGAUUGGCAAACUUCUUUCUUCCUUUUCUUGAACUUUCGUGUUCCGAGAUAAAACUCCGUCGGAAUUUUAAAGACGUACAUCGUAGUGAAGACCUUGGAGGACCAUAACUACCAGACUUUGUUCCGCUACGUCGAGUCUCGUACAUAAGACUAUGACGUUUUGAGACGUUGAAACAACCAGUACUUAUACUUUCCACGUUCUUCUACCGCCGACGACGAAAUCGUAUAUUUACACAACUUCAUCGAAUAGAGUUCCGACGUAUGAUGUUUAUGGGAUAACGUUCAUUCCUGGCCGUCCACAACGUCCGUCAACAUGUCUGAUGUGGUCCGCUUAGUGGUAGUAGAAGUCGUAGUCUGUAACUAUUGAAUUUAUUGUUACCUAAUAGAUUCUACCGGGGAAGUUUGUUCCUACGAUUAAGUGGGGUUUAACGACCCUUGGUAAAUAAUGACCGGCAAGCGUUAGUUGGUGUGGACUGUUCCAAUGAUCGAAUGUGUUUACUACAGUUAAGACGGAAACUCCGUUGAGCCUUUAGUGUCUACCGUUAACGAAGACGACGACCGUUGGUACUUUUCCCUCACCUACCAGAAAGAAGUCAUUUUUGUCAAGACCUAAAAUUGAAGUCUUCGCACUUACUAGAUGAGUCUGAACACGCCUAAAGUUACCUCAGAUAGUCGACGACUCUAGGGUCUUGUGUUCUUGUACUGUAGGAAACUCAUCCACGACAACCUACACACUAUGAAUAUGCCAAUAUGGUAAAGUGACAGGGGUUACACGACCAUAAUAAAUCACCUUUUCAAGUUAUCGCGUCUUGUGUAUCCAGAAUAGCAAAUCCGCACGACCAAACAUGUCCUUCACAAAACUCUAAGAUGAAUAAAACAAAGAAAUCACCGCAAGGUAAGAGUAUGUCAACGAUCGUAGAUGAACCUACUACACUUGUGACUUGUCAGAUCGUUCAUUCCGUCGGCUACUACCUAAAGUAACGAGCUGUGAACACUAUGAAACCUGUAAAACCCACCAUUGAGAGUCUAACGCGAAUUAUCCGUUUACGUGUUAUAAUGGGCCUUAGCGGAUGUACGACAUUUAAUACACCAGGGGUGACUCGACUUAAUACCAACUUCUCAUAGACAGCCAAAAGGAAACUCGACAAUGUUCUACUGUCACAACCGGUGAAUUGUCAAAACUACCCCUCUCCUGUAGUUACAGUUAAUUAGAACGAUUGACUCUUUUGUCGAUCACCCGCAAAGAAAAGGCCAGAAAUAUAUCACCGUACAGAAGACCUCUUUCAAGUUCGUCCAAAGUUUCUUCAUUGGCGAACCUGGUAGUGGACAACACAUACUCGUAACAUGUUUAAUAAAAAGUACAUGUUAUCCGAUUGGGCAAAAAAGCAAUAGCUAUGGUCUGACAGACAUGUACAUAUUGAGAUUUUCCGAACCUGAGGCCGGUUCAAAAUCAGUAGCAACAAGAGCGUUUAGAACGGUAAAAGUGUAAACCAACGAAUACAAUUCCAUCACAUCUUAAUUAUAACUGGUUGUUGCAAAACGUCUUACGUUCUAUUUGGAAGAGACAAGACAUGAAACAUCGUGGUGGGUCAAACUCAUUUCGCUACGCUCAACGACG